Molecule: ribosomal RNA, 1569 nt
Filed under: Vibrio cholerae
Lineage: Bacteria; Pseudomonadati; Pseudomonadota; Gammaproteobacteria; Vibrionales; Vibrionaceae
Description: partial 23S ribosomal RNA
Rfam family: Bacterial large subunit ribosomal RNA
Source: RNAcentral
UAAGCCGUUGAAGGUGAAUCGUAAGGUUUGCUGGAGGUAUCAGAAGUGCGAAUGCUGACAUGAGUAACGACAAAGGGGGUGAAAAACCUCCUCGCCGGAAGACCAAGGGUUCCUGUCCAACGUUAAUCGGGGCAGGGUGAGUCGACCCCUAAGGUGAGGCCGAAAGGCGUAAUCGAUGGGAAACGGGUUAAUAUUCCCGUACUUCUGACUAUUGCGAUGGGGGGACGGAGAAGGCUAGGUGGGCCAGGCGACGGUUGUCCUGGUUCAAGUGCGUAGGCUUGAGAGUUAGGUAAAUCCGGCUCUCUCUAAGGCUGAGACACGACGUCGAGCUGCUACGGCAGUGAAGUCAUUGAUGCCAUGCUUCCAGGAAAAGCCUCUAAGCUUCAGAUAGUCAGGAAUCGUACCCCAAACCGACACAGGUGGUCGGGUAGAGAAUACCAAGGCGCUUGAGAGAACUCGGGUGAAGGAACUAGGCAAAAUGGUACCGUAACUUCGGGAGAAGGUACGCUCUUGAUGGUGAAGUCCCUCGCGGAUGGAGCUGACGAGAGUCGCAGAUACCAGGUGGCUGCAACUGUUUAUUAAAAACACAGCACUGUGCAAAAUCGCAAGAUGACGUAUACGGUGUGACGCCUGCCCGGUGCCGGAAGGUUAAUUGAUGGGGUUAGCGCAAGCGAAGCUCUUGAUCGAAGCCCCGGUAAACGGCGGCCGUAACUAUAACGGUCCUAAGGUAGCGAAAUUCCUUGUCGGGUAAGUUCCGACCUGCACGAAUGGCGUAAUGAUGGCCACGCUGUCUCCACCCGAGACUCAGUGAAAUUGAAAUCGCUGUGAAGAUGCAGUGUACCCGCGGCUAGACGGAAAGACCCCGUGAACCUUUACUACAGCUUGGCACUGAACAUUGAACCUACAUGUGUAGGAUAGGUGGGAGGCUAUGAAGACGUGACGCCAGUUGCGUUGGAGCCGUCCUUGAAAUACCACCCUUGUAUGUUUGAUGUUCUAACUUAGACCCAUUAUCUGGGUUGAGGACAGUGCCUGGUGGGUAGUUUGACUGGGGCGGUCUCCUCCCAAAGAGUAACGGAGGAGCACGAAGGUGGGCUAAUCACGGUUGGACAUCGUGAGGUUAGUGCAAUGGCAUAAGCCCGCUUAACUGCGAGAAUGACGGUUCGAGCAGGUGCGAAAGCAGGUCAUAGUGAUCCGGUGGUUCUGUAUGGAAGGGCCAUCGCUCAACGGAUAAAAGGUACUCCGGGGAUAACAGGCUGAUACCGCCCAAGAGUUCAUAUCGACGGCGGUGUUUGGCACCUCGAUGUCGGCUCAUCACAUCCUGGGGCUGAAGUCGGUCCCAAGGGUAUGGCUGUUCGCCAUUUAAAGUGGUACGCGAGCUGGGUUUAGAACGUCGUGAGACAGUUCGGUCCCUAUCUGCCGUGGGCGUUGGAAGAUUGAAGGGGGCUGCUCCUAGUACGAGAGGACCGGAGUGGACGAACCUCUGGUGUUCGGGUUGUGUCGCCAGACGCAUUGCCCGGUAGCUAAGUUCGGAAUUGAUAAGCGCUGAAAGCAUCUAAGCGCGAAGCGAGC